This 88-nucleotide small RNA is filed under the name Flavobacterium noncentrifugens. RNAcentral's name for it is "Flavo-1 RNA". It matches the Rfam family "Flavo-1 RNA". Lineage: Bacteria; Pseudomonadati; Bacteroidota; Flavobacteriia; Flavobacteriales; Flavobacteriaceae. The record is from Rfam by way of RNAcentral.
UUUUUGCGUGAAGGAUGGAAGUGGAAAUCCUUUUUAAAUCGCAGCAAAGCGGAGAUUAAAAAGAUUGCAGCGGACAGCCUGACAGCGG